Molecule: ribosomal RNA, 460 nt
Filed under: uncultured bacterium
Lineage: Bacteria
Description: partial 16S ribosomal RNA
Rfam family: Bacterial small subunit ribosomal RNA
Source: RNAcentral
CCUACGGGAGGCAGCAGUGAGGAAUAUUGGUCAAUGGCCGUAAGGCUGAACCAGCCAAGUCGCGUGAAGGAAGAAGGAUCUAUGGUUUGUAAACUUCUUUUAUAGGGGAAUAAAGGUAUCCACGUGUGGAUAUUUGCAUGUACCCUAUGAAUAAGCAUCGGCUAACUCCGUGCCAGCAGCCGCGGUAAUACGGAGGAUGCGAGCGUUAUCCGGAUUUAUUGGGUUUAAAGGGUGCGUAGGUUGUUUUUUAAGUCAGCGGUGAAAGUUUGUGGCUCAACCAUAAAAUUGCCGUUGAAACUGGAAGACGUGAGUGUGUUUGAGGUAGGCGGAAUGCGUGGUGUAGCGGUGAAAUGCAUAGAUAUCACGCAGAACUCAGAUUGCGAAGGCAGCUUACUAAGCCAUAACUGACACUGAAGCACGAAAGCGUGGGGAUCAAACAGGAUUAGAUACCCGGGUAGUC